This 424-nucleotide ribosomal RNA is filed under the name Verrucomicrobiota bacterium. RNAcentral's name for it is "Verrucomicrobia bacterium partial 16S ribosomal RNA". It matches the Rfam family "Bacterial small subunit ribosomal RNA", at positions 355 to 776 of the family's 1533-position model. The record is from RNAcentral. Lineage: Bacteria; Pseudomonadati; Verrucomicrobiota.
UGAGGAAUAUUGGUCAAUGGGCGAGAGCCUGAACCAGCCAAGUAGCGUGCAGGAUGACGGCCCUAUGGGUUGUAAACUGCUUUUAUAUGGGAAUAAAGUGAGGGACGUGUCCCUUAUUGCACGUACCAUAUGAAUAAGGACCGGUUAAUUUCGUGCCAGCAGCCGCGGUAAUCAGGAAUGUUCGGGCGUUAUCCGGAUUUAUUGGGUUUAAAGGGAGCGUAGGUCGUUUGGUCAGCGUGUUGUGAAAUGUAGGAGCUCAACUUCUAGAUUGCAGAGCGAUCUGUCAGACUUGAGUGCGCACAACGUAGGCGGGAUUCAUGGUGUAGCGGGGAAAUGCUUAGAUAUAAUGAAGAACUACGAUUGCGAAGGCAGCUGACGGGAGCGCAACAGACGCUGAAGCUCGUAGGAGCGGGUAUCGAACAGG